GGGGACUCGCCCCUUCGGGGGCCAGACGCCUCGAGCCCGGGGGUCGGGGUGAGCUCUGUACACCAUCGCACCAUGGUAGAGGCGACUCCCCUCUCCGGGAGCAAGAUGCCUCAAGCCCCGGUUUCAGGGGGGAACUCUGUACAUCCUUGCACCAGGGUAGAGGGGACUUUCUCCUCCAGGGCCAGAUGCCUGGAGCCCAGGUGUCAGUGGGGGCAGCUCUCUACACCAUCGCAUCCAAGGUAGAGGGUACUCCUCCGUCGAGGGGCGAGAUGCCUGGAGCCUGGGUGUGGGGAGCUCUGUACAAAACUGCACCCAGGGCAGAGGGGACUCACCCCUCAGGGUGCAAGACGCCUCGAGCCCUGGUGUCAGGGGGAGCUCUGUACACCAUGGCACCCAGGGUAGAGGGGCUGCCCCCUCAAGGCGCAAGAUGCGGCAAGCCCGUGUGUGUGUGUGUAGCUCUGUAUACCAUCACACCCAGGAUAGAGGGGACUUUCCCCCAUCCAGGGGCGAGACACCUGGAGCCCUGGUGUGUGUGUGUGUGGGAGCUCUGUAUACCAUCGCACCCAGGGUAGAGGGGAGUCCUUCCUCCAGGGGCGAGACCCCUUGAGCCUAGGUGUGUGUGUGGGAGCUCUGUACACCAUCGCACCCAGAGUGGAGGGGACUCCCAUCUCAGAGGGGCUAGAUGCCUGGAGCCUGAGUGUCGGGGGUGGGGAGCUCCGUACACCAUCAUACCCAGGGUAGAGGGGACUCCCCCCUCAAGGGGAAGGACGCCUUGAGCCCUAGUUUCUGGGGGAGCUCUGUAAACCAUUGCACCCAGGGUAGAGGGGACUCUUCCCUCCAGGCACGAGAUGCCUGGAGCCCAAAUGUCGAGGGCGAGCUCUGUGCACCAUCACACCCAGGGUAGAUGGGACUCCCCCCUCCAGGGGGGAGACGCCUGGAGCCUGGAUGUCGGUUGGGACCUCUGUACACCCUUGCACCCAGGGUGGAGGGGAUUUUCUCC
This 1000-nucleotide long non-coding RNA is filed under the name Marmota monax (woodchuck). Lineage: Eukaryota; Metazoa; Chordata; Mammalia; Rodentia; Sciuridae. The record is from RNAcentral.